AAAAGAGCAAGUCAGGGAACUAGCUUUGGUUGGGUUCGGUGGUACACAAAGCACAAGGCCUGGGUUGGGGUUAGGAGGAAAUGAGACUUGCGGCGGGUCGGGGCUGAAGAUGUGGCAGCGCCCUGAACCUGGAGAAAGGCUGGUACGUAAACGCCUGCGUCGCAAUCUGGAGUCAGCUGGAGUGUCCCGGCAGAAUCCCUUUGGUCAAGGAGAGGGAGAGAGAGGUAAGGGUCUGGUCUUACUUUUUAAGCAGGAAGAAGACUACAAACCACCAUCUACCAUCUGCCAGGUAAUUUUAAACCAGUCCACUUAAUCCCCAUCAGAUUUUCCAGAUGCUUUGAAUGCAGAGCUAAGGUUGAGAACCACUGAUUUAGACAAAUAUACUAUGGGAGAAGGGGAAGGAGGUUCCACCAGCAGAGAGCAACCAGCUAGAGCCAUUUGGGGCUUAUCACAAAAGACUUCUUGUCAGGGAAAUUCACCUAUUGAGAGACAUUUUGGUUGUUUCCAAUUCUGGGCCAUUGAAAAGAAUGCUAAUAAGCAAAGCCCCUCUUCUGCUAUGAAAGUAACAGUGGGCAGAUAUUCCCUCUCUGGCCCUUGGGUAACUGAAAGGAGGCUUAUAACCAAAGCACAGCCAGUGAGAUGCUCCUGCUCAGGAUGUUGAUUUUGGAGAAGUGACACAAGGUAUAUGAUCAGAGUUAAGGGUUCAGUAGGCCAGUAAUGAGUGCCAGUGGUGUUGGUUCCAGUAGCACAAUGGUAAGUAUCCAGUUUAGAAGGCUCGGGUGGCAGCAUCCUAAGCCCACUAUCCCUAGCGAGAUGCUGGCUGUGCCUCACCAACCCUCAUCCCUGCCUCAUCCUUGUUCUCCAGCUUCCCAUUAAAACUGUGAGCUUCCUAAUACCUUUCCAAUAAAUUAAAUUUUGUCAUAAAUAUACCAUAAUCCAUUUCUAUUGUUUCUUUCUUUUUUUUUCUUUUUUUUUUUGAGGCAGAGUCUUGCUCUGUCACCCAGGCUGGAGUGCAAUGGCACAAUCUUGGCUCAUGGCAGCCUCUACUUCCCAGGUUCAAGCGAUUCUCCUGCCUCAGCCUCCCGAGUAGCUGGGAUUACAGGUGCCUGCCACCACGCCUGGCUAAUUUUUGUA
This 1134-nucleotide long non-coding RNA is filed under the name Homo sapiens (human). RNAcentral's name for it is "HSALNT0314685". Lineage: Eukaryota; Metazoa; Chordata; Mammalia; Primates; Hominidae. The record is from RNAcentral.